Molecule: long non-coding RNA, 1203 nt
Organism: Actinia tenebrosa (Australian red waratah sea anemone)
Lineage: Eukaryota; Metazoa; Cnidaria; Anthozoa; Actiniaria; Actiniidae
Source: RefSeq, a predicted model, not a curated record
CUUGAAAAACAUACCCUGUUCAAGACACAACACUGUAAAUUUUUAAACCCCAUCCAAGACCUAAGAGAAUGUAGCGUUGUUUAAGUGAGCGUUACGCCCCCUGGGCUAUCCAUGCCUUUCGAAUAAAGAUGGCCGCCGCGGCAUCGUCGUCUACUUUUCGUUUUCGACGCAGGAAGUCGUUUUAUUCAUACGAUAUCUUGACGUCAAACUUAAAAGCUGUAUAAAGGAUUUGCACCAUCACGUGAUGGCAGGCAUGACAGGAGGCACAACAAUAGUCUUUUUCCUCCCGGGGAAACUGAAUUUAUUCUCGUGCCAUUCAGACUAGAUCAGAUUCAAUAGUUCCUGCCUCCUGUCAUGGCUGCCUCUGUUCACUCAUAGUUAGUCAAAGAGUGGAAUCCAGUCCCCUCUACUAACAUUCUACUAACUAUGAUUCACUGGCCAAUGAAUGAAGCAUCAGUCAAUACGAAUCAACCAAAAUCAGCCUGCCUUAUAUAGACAAUGGAUUAUAUUUUUACUUACUUGUCUUGCGCUUUCUUGUAGAUAGCAGACUAUCUAUCUUUUCGCUGGAGAACGGUUUGUUUCAUGUCAGUUGCUCGCUUAAAAAUCGAUGGAUUUUUAUGCGGAAACUUUAGAAAACGUAAAAAGAAAGAAUAAUCAAAGAACUGGAACAACUGAAAAGCGAAAAUUACAGAUAUUAUGCGUUGAACUGAAAGCCAUGGGCCCAGGAUUGUAUCAACCCUUGCAUUCGUCUCUUUAGAACAAAAAAAAGUUUACUGCACGGGCUAGCAAGAUGAAAAAACUAUUCUCUACAAGGCAAGGAUUACAGUAUUUCAAAGACGGGCUUCUAGCCAUGAUUUAUAUAAUGAAUGAAUGCUACCUAGUCCGCAUACAUAAGCUUGGUCAGCAAAUUGUGCAUGAAGAGUCGUUUCCAGAACUCAACUCAACUCAGCUCAGGUUUUCUAAUACUCGGAACCAGAAAGAACCGAAAAAGUUCACAUGGCUUUGCUGGAAGAAGUAGACAAUUGCUUUUCAUUAUUGAAAUUUGUUAAAAGAUUGAUUUCCACAUUUCUUUAUAAAAGAUGUAAAUUCUUUAUAAAAAAUGUAAUUAUGCUAAAACCACGCACGGAGUACAGACCAUUUCCCUCAGAAAAGCAUGGAACAUUUCCUUAUCGUUAAAUAAAUAAAUAAGUUUACUUAAAUAAC